RNAcentral lists this ribosomal RNA (845 nucleotides) under Escherichia coli. RNAcentral's name for it is "bacterial LSU rRNA". It matches the Rfam family "Bacterial large subunit ribosomal RNA", at positions 1 to 888 of the family's 2925-position model. Lineage: Bacteria; Pseudomonadati; Pseudomonadota; Gammaproteobacteria; Enterobacterales; Enterobacteriaceae. The record is from RNAcentral.
GGUUAAGCGACUAAGCGUACACGGUGGAUGCCCUGGCAGUCAGAGGCGAUGAAGGACGUGCUAAUCUGCGAUAAGCGUCGGUAAGGUGAUAUGAACCGUUAUAACCGGCGAUUUCCGAAUGGGGAAACCCAGUGUGUUUCGACACACUAUCAUUAACUGAAUCCAUAGGUUAAUGAGGCGAACCGGGGGAACUGAAACAUCUAAGUACCCCGAGGAAAAGAAAUCAACCGAGAUUCCCCCAGUAGCGGCGAGCGAACGGGGAGCAGCCCAGAGCCUGAAUCAGUGUGUGUGUUAGUGGAAGCGUCUGGAAAGGCGUGCGAUACAGGGUGACAGCCCCGUACACAAAAAUGCACAUGCUGUGAGCUCGAUGAGUAGGGCGGGACACGUGGUAUCCUGUCUGAAUAUGGGGGGACCAUCCUCCAAGGCUAAAUACUCCUGACUGACCGAUAGUGAACCAGUACCGUGAGGGAAAGGCGAAAAGAACCCCGGCGAGGGGAGUGAAAAAGAACCUGAAACCGUGUACGUACAAGCAGUGGGAGCACGCUUAGGCGUGUGACUGCGUACCUUUUGUAUAAUGGGUCAGCGACUUAUAUUCUGUAGCAAGGUUAACCGAAUAGGGGAGCCGAAGGGAAACCGAGUCUUAACUGGGCGUUAAGUUGCAGGGUAUAGACCCGAAACCCGGUGAUCUAGCCAUGGGCAGGUUGAAGGUUGGGUAACACUAACUGGAGGACCGAACCGACUAAUGUUGAAAAAUUAGCGGAUGACUUGUGGCUGGGGGUGAAAGGCCAAUCAAACCGGGAGAUAGCUGGUUCUCCCCGAAAGCUAUUUAGGUAGCGCCUCGUGAA